GACGAACGCUGGCGGCGUGCCUAAUACAUGCAAGUAGAACGCUGAAGGAGGAGCUUGCUUCUCUGGAUGAGUUGCGAACGGGUGAGUAACGCGUAGGUAACCUGCCUGGUAGCGGGGGAUAACUAUUGGAAACGAUAGCUAAUACCGCAUAACAGUAGAUAUCGCAUGAUAUCUACUUGAAAGGUGCAAUUGCAUCACUACCAGAUGGACCUGCGUUGUAUUAGCUAGUUGGUGAGGUAACGGCUCACCAAGGCGACGAUACAUAGCCGACCUGAGAGGGUGAUCGGCCACACUGGGACUGAGACACGGCCCAGACUCCUACGGGAGGCAGCAGUAGGGGAUCUUCGGCAAUGGACGGAAGUCUGACCGAGCAACGCCGCGUGAGUGAAGAAGGUUUUCGGAUCGUAAAGCUCUGUUGUAAGAGAAGAACGAGUGUGAGAGUGGAAAGUUCACACUGUGACGGUAUCUUACCAGAAAGGGACGGCUAACUACGUG
Molecule: ribosomal RNA, 495 nt
Filed under: uncultured bacterium
Lineage: Bacteria
Description: partial 16S ribosomal RNA
Rfam family: Bacterial small subunit ribosomal RNA
Source: RNAcentral